AGCCGAGCGGAACGAUGGUAGCUUGCUACCAGGCGUCGGGCGGCGGACGGGUGAGUAAUACUUAGGAAUCUACCUAGUAGUGGGGGAUAGCACGGGGAAACUCGUAUUAAUACCGCAUACGACCUACGGGAGAAAGGGGGCAGUUUACUGCUCUCGCUAUUAGAUGAGUCUAAGUCGGAUUAGCUAGAUGGUGGGGUAAAGGCCUACCAUGGCGACGAUCUGUAGCUGGUCUGAGAGGAUGAUCAGCCACACCGGGACUGAGACACGGCCCGGACUCCUACGGGAGGCAGCAGUGGGGAAUAUUGGACAAUGGGGGAAACCCUGAUCCAGCCAUGCCGCGUGUGUGAAGAAGGCCUUUUGGUUGUAAAGCACUUUAAGCAGUGAAGAAGACUCUUCGGUUAAUACCCGGAGACGAUGACAUUAGCUGCAGAAUAAGCACCGGCUAACUCUGUGCCAGCAGCCGCGGUAA
RNAcentral lists this ribosomal RNA (469 nucleotides) under uncultured Psychrobacter sp. RNAcentral's name for it is "bacterial SSU rRNA". It matches the Rfam family "Bacterial small subunit ribosomal RNA", at positions 60 to 523 of the family's 1533-position model. The record is from RNAcentral. Lineage: Bacteria; Pseudomonadati; Pseudomonadota; Gammaproteobacteria; Moraxellales; Moraxellaceae.